RNAcentral lists this ribosomal RNA (455 nucleotides) under Escherichia coli. Its description in RNAcentral is "partial 23S ribosomal RNA". It matches the Rfam family "Bacterial large subunit ribosomal RNA", at positions 1 to 495 of the family's 2925-position model. The record is from RNAcentral. Lineage: Bacteria; Pseudomonadati; Pseudomonadota; Gammaproteobacteria; Enterobacterales; Enterobacteriaceae.
GGUUAAGCGACUAAGCGUACACGGUGGAUGCCCUGGCAGUCAGAGGCGAUGAAGGACGUGCUAAUCUGCGAUAAGCGUCGGUAAGGUGAUAUGAACCGUUAUAACCGGCGAUUUCCGAAUGGGGAAACCCAGUGUGAUUCGUCACACUAUCAUUAACUGAAUCCAUAGGUUAAUGAGGCGAACCGGGGGAACUGAAACAUCUAAGUACCCCGAGGAAAAGAAAUCAACCGAGAUUCCCCCAGUAGCGGCGAGCGAACGGGGAGCAGCCCAGAGCCUGAAUCAGUGUGUGUGUUAGUGGAAGCGUCUGGAAAGGCGCGCGAUACAGGGUGACAGCCCCGUACACAAAAAUGCACAUACUGUGAGCUCGAUGAGUAGGGCGGGACACGUGGUAUCCUGUCUGAAUAUGGGGGGACCAUCCUCCAAGGCUAAAUACUCCUGACUGACCGAUAGUGAAC